Molecule: microRNA, 19 nt
Filed under: Mus musculus (house mouse)
Lineage: Eukaryota; Metazoa; Chordata; Mammalia; Rodentia; Muridae
Description: mmu-miR-764-5p
Gene: mmu-miR-764-5p
Source: miRBase by way of RNAcentral
GGUGCUCACAUGUCCUCCU